This is a non-coding RNA of Helianthus annuus (common sunflower), 89 nucleotides long. NCBI's taxonomy places the organism in Eukaryota, Viridiplantae, Streptophyta, Magnoliopsida, Asterales, Asteraceae. The record is from Rfam.
GUGUAAUGAUGAUGAAAGUUAUUUGACAAUGUCUUCUGAAGCAUGAAUAAUGCUGAGUGAUUGAACAAAUAUCCUCCUACUCAUUCUGA